Long non-coding RNA from Thamnophis elegans (Western terrestrial garter snake), 2460 nucleotides. RefSeq lists it as uncharacterized. The record is from RefSeq and is a predicted model, not a curated record. Lineage: Eukaryota; Metazoa; Chordata; Lepidosauria; Squamata; Natricidae. The transcript has 2 exons.
GUGGCAAACAUUCAUAAUACUCUUCCUUCUUUUCCCCACAACAACCACACAAUGAUUUAUACAUCUGAUUCCCAGUAAAACAGCAGUCUCCAAUCUUUGUGCCUUGGCAGCCCGGCUGGGAGCUGGGGGUGGAGGGAAAGGGGAACUGGGUGGCACAAGAAGCAGGAUGGAUGGUGCAUGCACAUGCGCACCCACGCAGUCCUUGCACAAGUGGUGGGCUGGCAUGCAUGCAUGCAGCUUGGCUGCACUCAAGUGCCCAUUGUGUGUAAAAAUAAUUGUAAUAAAAGGAGGGGAAGGGUGAAAAUCAUGUAAAACGUUCUCUCUCACACUGCCUCAAAGCUUGAAGGGAAACAUACCAUUCUGUUCCACUCUAGAUAUUCUGACAACAGCAGUGGGAACCGAAAAGCUCCUAAAGGGAACAUGUUACAUCAACAGAUCCUUGGAAAUCAGUUUGCCAAUUACUUCUCCUAUUCAUGAAAUAAUGAAAAAGAGAUGAUUUGGGUUGUCAAAAGACAUUUUCCAUUCAGAAGUAAGGAAGAAAGAAGUAAGGAAGAACUUUGAUUCAAGUUUUAUCUCUUAUUAUGAUAUAUGCAAAAAUAUUUUUAUGAUUACUGUCUUGUCAUUCCUUUACUCUUAUUUGUAUGUUCUUAUUUUAAAAUUGUACCAUGGUUGUUUUAAAUGGUAUUAUGCCGCUGAGAGCAUUUAAAUUGCAAGAGCAUAGAAAUAUGCUUAAUAAAUAAACAUAUUUGCAUAGUUGGGCAAAUGACUUCUGGAUUUCUGUAUCUGCAAAUACAACUUGCUUUGAAGAUUUUUCAGUGUGCCAUGGUAGGGCAUAUUGGAGGUGCUUUUAAAAUAUUUUUGUUAUUUAUGCCAACAGAAUGUUGUUCAGUGGGAAGAGAAAAUCGCUGUAGUACACCUUUAUACAUUAUUCAGAGUCCUAGUUAAAGAUUGAGAGCGGUCAGAGAGAGAAUAAUAAACUUGACACAGUACAGAUCUCUUGUGGAAAACACUGGACCAAAGAAAGGAGACAGCGGCAAUAUAAAUCAUUCAGGCUGGCACACGCUAAAAAAUGAAAAUCAUGCCUAUAGGGGAAGGAGACUAAAACAUCUAAGGCAAGCUAUAACAUAUCUCAGAAUCAGUUUUCCAAGUAAGCAUGGUUAAGUGCAGGCUGCUACUCUUACACAGGAUAUACUGAUGCUCUCUUCUGGUAGGAAUUGUUGCGUUUUGGAACAGGCUGGAGAUGCGUAAGAAGCUUGCUUGCUUGCUUACUUGCUUGUGGAUGCAUGUCGCCUCUUAAGUUCAGUGUUUUCUGUGCUCAGAUGCAACUGACCUAACUUUUACACCAGCAGUUCACUUAAACUACUCUAAAUACUUAGGUAAAGUAGCCAUAUUAAAGAUGAAAGUUCCCUCACUUGGGCUGCAUUCUUGACAGUUCAUGUAGGUUUUUUUGAAAAUAACAUAGAUGUAGCAUAUUAUUGCAUACUGCUAUUCUUUCAGAUCAUUUUUAACCUCAUUGUCUACCCAAAGCCUUGGAGUUUCCUGGUAAUGUCCAUCUACCUAUCAACCAUAUCUGACAUGCUCAGGGUGUCUAAGAUCAGACAAAGUUAAUUAGGCAUUGCCAUUGCUGUAUAGAUAAUAAAUUCAAUGCAAGGAUUUUGUGUACAGUAGUGUAUAGCAGAUAUCAUAAUACGUUGAUUAGUGUUUUAUCAAUUGUAAUGUAUCAGGCUCUUUAUUGUUUUAAUUAAAAUGCACAAGACUCAUUCUGGCUUGCCUUAUUAGAAAGGAAGAAGGCACUCUCUAAUAAUGCAGCACUUUGAUGAAUAGCAAGAAGUGUACAAAUUCACCUUGGGUCCCAUUCUGAGGCACUGGCAAUCUGCACUCCAUUGAAUAUGCAUUUUAAGUCUGGCUCUUAAAAGAGAAUAUAAUCAUUCACAGUAAGCUAAAAUAAAUUUCCAGAAAGAAAGAAAGAAAAAAAAAGAAAGCAUAUUACAGAGAAAGCAAUGAAACUCACUUAAGUAGCAAAAUAUAAAAGAGGAAUUUGGAAUUCAUAGAGUAAUUUGUUUGCUGGAUUUAUUAUAGUUUAUGUUCACUUGCCUACAUUUCAAACCGAAAUAAUUUUCUGUCACUCUUUUGGUUUUAGAAUAAGUGCCAGGCUGCUCAAAUAAGGAUAGGCUGAGAGAUUAUGAAAAAGGUAACUUACAUUUGAAUACAGUCCCUUAUAGGCAGCUCAAUACCAGUAGAAGAAUAAUAUUUACAGUACAGUAUUUACAACAUUUAGAAUGAAACAGAAUCUCAUGCUGUUCUUCUCCACAUCCUGAAUGGUCACAUUUUCCUCUCAGAUAUAAUGUACAAUUAUUAACCUGUGUCAAAGAUCUUGAUUUGGAGGCAAACCAUAAUUGUAAGGCACAUUGAAACAGAGGUUGUUUUCUCCUUAAACAAGUCAUUUUCUAAUUACUUAUC